RNAcentral lists this ribosomal RNA (834 nucleotides) under Entrophospora claroidea. RNAcentral's name for it is "partial 28S ribosomal RNA". It matches the Rfam family "Eukaryotic large subunit ribosomal RNA", at positions 1 to 649 of the family's 3401-position model. Lineage: Eukaryota; Fungi; Glomeromycota; Glomeromycetes; Entrophosporales; Entrophosporaceae. The record is from RNAcentral.
AAGUGCUUGGUCGAGAUUGUAAGAUACAUUUAAACAAUGACCUCAAAUCAGGCAAGAAUACCCGCUGAACUUAAGCAUAUCAAUAAGCGGAGGAAAAGAAACUAACAAGGAUUCCCCUAGUAACGGCGAGUGAAGAGGGAAAAGCUCAAAUUUUAAAUCUGCCUUGUUUCAAGGUCGAGUUGUAAUUUGAAGAAGCGUUUUCUUGGGCACGCGACCGGUAGAAGUUCUUUGGAACAGGACAUCAUAGAGGGUGACAAUCCCGUCUGCGACCGGUCGUGCGUUCAUCUACGAUACGCUUUCAAAGAGUCGAGUUGUUUGGGAUUGCAGCUCCAAAUGGGUGGUAAACAUCACCUAAGGCUAAAUAUUGGCGAGAGACCGAUAGCGAACAAGUACCGUGAGGGAAAGAUGAAAAGAACUUUGAAAAGAGAGUUAAACAGUACGUGAAAUUGUUGAAAGGGAAACGAUUGAAGUCAGUCGUGCUGGCGCGAAAUCAACCCUCUCGUCGAGAGGUCACAUGGCGUGGCGAGCCUCAAAACCGUCACGAAGCGUGAACUCUUGGCGAAAAGGAGCACUUUCGUGUCCGCUGGUUAACAUCAAUUUCGAACGUCAUAAAAAGGCUGGAGGGAUGUGGCUCCUUCGGGAGUGUUAUAACCUUUAGCGGAAUGUGGUGGUCGGGAUUGAGGAUUGCAACGAAUACCUUUAGGGCUGUUCCACCUGGCUUCUCUUUGGUAUCCUGGUGACGACAGCUUGCUGACGUUGUUAGGAUUCGCCUUUGAACAGGCUAGAGUGUGAGCAAAUUCGUUAAGGAUGUUAACGUAAUGGCUUUAAACGACC